Molecule: ribosomal RNA, 463 nt
Filed under: uncultured bacterium
Lineage: Bacteria
Description: bacterial SSU rRNA
Rfam family: Bacterial small subunit ribosomal RNA
Source: RNAcentral
GCCUACAGGGCGCAGCAGUAGGGAAUCUUGCGCAAUGGGCGAAAGCCUGACGCAGCGACGCCGCGUGAGUGAUGAAGGCCUUCGGGUUGUAAAGCUCUGUGGAGAGGGACGAAUAAGGCGUGGCUAACAUCCACGUUGAUGACGGUACCUCUUUAGCAAGCACCGGCUAACUCUGUGCCAGCAGCCGCGGUAAGACAGAGGGUGCAAACGUUGUUCGGAAUUACUGGGCGUAAAGCGCGUGUAGGCUGUCUCGAAAGUCGGAUGUGAAAGCCCUGGGCUCAACCUAGGAAGUGCAUUCGAAACUUCGAGACUUGAGUCCUGGAGAGGAUCGCGGAAUUCUCGGUGUAGAGGUGAAAUUCGUAGAUAUCGAGAGGAACACCGGUGGCGAAGGCGGCGAUCUGGACAGUGACUGACGCUGAGACGCGAAAGCGUGGGGAGCAAACAGGAUUAGAUACCCGCGUAC